This 74-nucleotide transfer RNA is filed under the name subsurface metagenome. RNAcentral describes it as "tRNA-Lys". It matches the Rfam family "tRNA". Rfam says of the family: Transfer RNA (tRNA) molecules are approximately 80 nucleotides in length. Their secondary structure includes four short double-helical elements and three loops (D, anti-codon, and T loops). The record is from RNAcentral.
GGGCCGUUAGCUCAGUCGGCAGAGCACCUGACUUUUAAUCAGGGUGUCACAGGUUCGAGACCUGUACGGCCUAC